RNAcentral lists this ribosomal RNA (253 nucleotides) under uncultured bacterium. RNAcentral's name for it is "partial 16S ribosomal RNA". It matches the Rfam family "Bacterial small subunit ribosomal RNA", at positions 524 to 776 of the family's 1533-position model. The record is from RNAcentral.
UACGGAGUGUGCAAGCGUUACUCGGAAUCACUGGGCAUAAAGCGCGCGUAGGCGGGCUUUCAAGUCGGUUGUGAAAUCCCUCAGCUCAACUGAGGAACUGCAUCCGAUACUGUCUGUCUUGAGGUCGGGAGGGGAGAGUGGAACUUCUGGUGGAGCGGUGAAAUGCGUAGAUAUCAGAAGGAACGCCGGUGGCGAAAGCGACUCUCUGGCCCGAAUCUGACGCUGAGGCGCGAAAGCUUGGGUAGCAAACGGG